This is a long non-coding RNA of Ictalurus punctatus (channel catfish), 12200 nucleotides long. RefSeq lists it as uncharacterized. The record is from RefSeq and is a predicted model, not a curated record. The transcript has 2 exons. NCBI's taxonomy places the organism in Eukaryota, Metazoa, Chordata, Actinopteri, Siluriformes, Ictaluridae.
AGGUAUUGUGGAGGGGAAGUAUUUCUGAAACUCAGCAUCUCACAACUGGCAUUCCGCAGGGGUCAGUUCUGGGUCCACUGCUCUUUUCUAUUCACACUACAUCUCUGGGGCAGAUGACUGAGUCUCAUGGCUUUUCAUAACAUUGCUGUGCAGACAACACCGAGCUCUAUUUGUCCUUCCAGCCUGACGAUCUGUCCGUCUCUGCAAGAAACUCUGCUUGGCUGUCGGACAUCUCGGUCUGGAUGAGGGAACACCACCUAAAGCUCAACCUGGCAAAAUCUGAGCUUCUCAUCAUCCCAGCCUGUCCCUCAAUCAACCACAACCUUGCUGUACAGCUCGGCUCACCCACACUCAAGCCAACCAGGAAGGCCAGGAACCUUGGGGUGAUUCUUGAUGACAGCUUGACCUUUACAGACCACAUCUCAAUAACUGCACGGUCCUGUAGGUUCAUCCUGUACAACAUCAAGAAAAUCAGACCCUACAUCACUGAACGGGCUACACAACUACUAGUCCAAGCUCUUGUUAUCUCAAAACAGGACUUCUGCAACAAACAACUCUCGAGACUCCCAGCCAGCUGUAUCAAACCCCUUCAAAUGAUUCAGAAUGCAGCAGCACGCCUUGUCUUCAACAAGCCCAAGAGAACCCAUGUCACACCCCUCUUCAUCUCCCUCCACCGACUUCCUGUAGCCACCCGUAUCAAAAUUAAAGCCCUUGAUGCUCACCUACAAGACCUUGUCUGGAACAGCACCCUCCUACCUCAACUCUCUCCUGAAGGCUUACAUUCCCUCACGCAAUCUGCGUUCAAUCAACGACCAACGCUUAGUAGUACCUACACAGCGUGGCUCAAGGUCCCUUUCAAGAACCUUAAUACUAACUGUUCCUCAGUGGUGGAAUGAACUUCCAACCUCAAUCCGGACCACAGAAUCUCUCACCAUCUUCAGGAAACAGCUAAAGACCCACCUCUUCCGUGAACACCUAACCAACCCAAAAAAAAAAAAAAAAAAAAAAAAAACUCUGGCAAUUUCACCUCUACUCUGCACACUUUGCUUCUUCUGGAGCUCAAUUAAUGGAUCUUGUAUGGUAGCACUACUUGUAUUGUUCUCUGCUUGAUAUCGCUUUGCUUGUAUUUUCUCAUUUGUAAGUCACUUUGGAUAAAAGCGUCUGCUAAAUGAAUAAAUGUAAAUGUAACUGCCUCGGGUAGUCGCACAAUCCGUAAUUUGGAUCUGGAACCUCUAUGUCAGUCCACUGGGGAAACUGGACUGACAUGAAUGGUGGCCAGACAUCCUUAUGUACGCUGGCAUGAUGAUCUCCUUGCUCUCCUGCUGCUUCCAUGUUGAGGCGAAGUAUUCCGUCAUGUAAUGGAGGCUGAGACGGAAGCAAGUUCAGGUAUGGCAGUUUAAUCAAACAACAACAAGUCCCAAGAAUAAAGCAGAAGACAAUAAUCAUGAACAUGCAGUGAUCAGCUGAUCAGGCAAACAGCACAAACAGGGCAGGGCAAAGAGACAAAGUUGUAAACGUAAGCAAGGUCAAAACACCAGAAUAAACAGACACGAUAUAAGGCUUGGUAAUGACAGAGACAAGGCAACUUAGCGUAUACUCUGCAAUGACUAAGUGUUUGAACAGUCUCUUAUAUGUGUGGUGUGAUUGUGAGUAUAAGCAGGAUGCAGGUGUGUGUGAUUAGAAUGAAGGUGUGUUCUGGGAAUUGUGGUCCAUGACGGCCACAUAUUCAAUGCCCUAUUUAUACAGUCUUAUCUUUAGUUUAUGCCCAAUUAUCUCAUUCUUUUGGAAUCCCAAUAUGCUUUAUUAACGUCUUUUUUUGAUUCCCCUUAAACACUACUUAUUGGAUUUUAAAAUACCAUUAGAACGAGCUUUUCUCGUUCUGAAAUCCCCUUAACACACAUUUUCAGCCAUUGGAUAUCCCCUUAUCUUCAUCUUUUUCUUUUGGGUAUUUUAAACAUUUUCCAAGGCCCUUACUGCCAUUCCCACUUCUGUUAAUCAAGCUGUGCGCAUCUCAUCGCCCGUUGUCCUGAACAAUUUGGAUAUUUUCAUCACUUCUUCAUUAUGGGUGAGAUUUAUUUUAAUUACUGCUUAAUGUUACAAAUAUUUCUUCUCUAAUUCUAAGUAUGUUUAUAUGCUUUUUGGUGCUUCUUAGACAUUCUGUGAGUAUGUGUGUGUGUGUGUGUGUGUGUGUGUGUGUGUGUGUGUGCGUGUGUGUGUGUGUUUCUCUUGAACAUUUUUGUGAAUGUGUGGGUGUGUGUGUUUUUCUCAAAACAUCAUAUGAGUGUGUUUUUUUUUAAUUUUAUGCUUUUAUCAUGCCAUGUAUUGAUACCUGUUUCCUACAUUCUUUGCAUGUGCUUGUACAUGUAUUUAUGUAAAUAUAUUUGAAGUGUUACCACUACUGUUUUAUCAAAUUUUUUGUCCUUUCUCUCUGAUCUCUGUCCAGCUGAUCAACGCCCACCUGCAGCUGGACUCUCUCGACUGCUCAAUCUCACAGGCCUGGGUGAAUAUAUAUGCCAUCUGCUGGCUUAUUUGGCCAUCGAUAUUACAGCUCUGCUGGAACGUCUCUGCUCUUCACCUGUACCCACAGGGUUUCCUUAUUCUCCCACUUAUCGUAUCAUUCCAUAGGUUCGGUGACCUAUGUUCAUGCUUCCACUCAAACUGAAGUUCAACUUCUUCCCAUAACUUCUGUGGAGGGUUCGUUUAUUCUUUCCUCUGAUGAUGAUAGUAGCUUUGCUGCAAACACAUCAUAUGACCUUUCACCUACAAAUUACUCUCCUACAAGACCUAUUCCCUCCCCAGAAUAUGUGUAUGAUAGUGAUUCUCAAUAAACUACAUACUCUGUUACCCUCGUGUUUUCCUGUGUCUUAAAUUUAUUCCCACAUUCCCCCUUUGAGGAUCUCUAAGCCUCACUCUUCUCUUAAUUUAAGGGAUACCUAUGUAUAAAUACUGCCUUUUUCAACCUUUGGCCACCAUGCGUCAACUGUUUUAUUGUUACUGUUAUAUACCCUGCGUGCAGUCUGUCCAAUCUCUCCAGCCCUAUAUCAUCCACUGCAGUGGAGUCCUCUACAAUUGCCUGACCUGGGUGUCGUGAACAAAUUUCGAGUUAUCGGAGGUAAAAAGUCCACUCUGGUAUUGCUGUUCCAUUCAAAAUAACACGGCAGCUGUAAAACUGACCUUUCACCAGGCUGAGCACGACACACAUACCAAUACACUGCCAUGGCUUCUACUUGUGCAGAUGACUAAGUCAAGGUGCUCAGGUAAUUAGUUGAUGUGAAUUGAUACUAUGUUGUUAUACUGUACAUAAGUGAUACAAUUUGACUAUAUUCUGUUGACUACGUCAAGCACUAACAAUGCUCCUAUUUUUAACUACGUCCAAUGAUAAUGUCCCUAUAGCGUCCCUGUUUUAUCGGAUAGGCCUUAUUGACCACUACCUUGUAUCUUCAGGACUCAAGGGUUCAUUUGCUUUUCCCAAAAGAAGUCUGACCCAGGGGUGGGCGACAAAAGCUCUGAACCCAGUUGCGAGGAAAAAUUCCCACCCUGCCAGCACUUUGUGCUCGACAGUGGCUACACCUGGCUCAGUUUUUGACAAUAUGUGUCAAUGUAACCACAAUACACAUCAUGAUAUAAGUAUAAACAUUCUAAGAGUCCAUUCUGAUCCAUGCUUCAUUGUUCAUGGGGCUCAUGCCACAAACAGUUCAUCAUGCUUUAUGUCCAUAAGGUGGUCCACACGGGGAACACCUUGUGUUAUGUCCUUGUCCACCUCUACGGAAACGAUGUCUUCGACCCAGAUACUUUGCAUAUUGCAGGGGGCCGCCCUUGGGGAGAGGUUAGGCUAGCACUUACACCCAGGGCAUGGCUCAUCGAUCCUCUUUUACUAUACUGAGUUCCAGGACCUCUUGUUUCUCCUGCGCCAGAAGUCCUGCCUUAUGCAAGUACUGCAAGUGAUGACUUGUGGUGUGAAGUCCAGUGAAGUCCGUUCUCUGCACCUAGACACUUAGCAUACUCGCAUAUGCUAACAGCAAGCCUUGAUCAUGCAUUACAGAGUGUAGCUUCAGCAUUUUUUACUUGUUAUAAUUGCCAUGCAAUAACAACUAGUAGGUGUGUAAGUGACCCAAUGUUUUCAUGCCAAAUGGGGUUAUGCAAACAUCAGUAUAAAAAUUUCCAGUAUCAUAUAAGUAGAUACCAGUAUCUACUAGUAUUAACACUGCAUAAAAUACCUGCAAGCUUGAGUAUUCCAGAACAUUUAAUACACAUUGUAAUAUAACCCCCCUCCCCCCUUUUGAGGCGGACAUGCUUCAACCAUAGGCGAGAAGGGAACGAGGGACCGGUUCUAAGGCUGGACAACCACAUACUGGCCAGCAAUGUUAUUAACAGCAACUAGGAUAAGGCGCUUGCCAAGGGGGAUGACACAGCAGAUAACACCUGCUGAGCAAAGAAACAACUAUGGGUAACUGGUGAUCUUUAAUAGACCUACUUGUGCGGCCAAUUGGACAGAUUGUAGCAUGCCUGCUCUCUGAUGCAGAAAAUCAGUCCCAGGUCACUGGGACUUGCUGCCUGUCGGCGUGCUCUGUGCUCUCCCCUCCUCUUAACUUGUCCACGUAUUCUGUGGGAUGGACCCGCCUGGGGGUCGUCUGGAUCGCCAUCGCUUGCGAAGUCUAGGUCUUCUUGAUUAACUACAGAGUGUGUGUCAUCUGCUUCUCCGGCGGGAUGCAGAAGUCUACCUUUCCCUCCUUGAUUAGGAUGCUGGAGCCUAUCUUCCCCAUCCUCAGUAGGGCGCAAAAGUCUGCCUUUUCCCACCCCAUGGCUGCAGUGGUUUAGGUCAUACCAGUGCUCCUUACCUUCAACCUUUACUGCAGUUGGGGUUGCUGCAACCACCUUAAAUGGUCCUUCCCUUCGAGGGUCAUUGAAGUGCUUCCUUUUGAACGUGCGUAUGUACACGUAGUCCCCUGGUUCCACAAGUCUUUCAGGUGUGGUGACGUCUUCACCAUGGAUUGCCUCGUGCACCUGCGAAUACAAAUGCCUGUGGAUUUGGGUUAGGUGGCACACAUAUUCCUGAAUUUCGCCCUCUAGUUGUUCAAGAGGUGGGCCCUUGUAGGGACCCUGAGUAAACGCCAGUAUUCCAGCAUGAUAACGACCCCAAACAUGCCUCCAAGAUGACCACUGCCUUGCUAAAGAAGCUGAAGGUGAAGGGGAUGGACUAAACCCUAUUGAGCAUCUGUGGGGCAUCCUCAAAUGGAAGGUGGAGGAGCACAAGGUCUCUGACAUCCACCAGCUCCGUGAAGUCAUCAUGGAGGAGUGGAAGAAGACUCCAGUGGCAACCUGUGAAGCUCUGGUGAACUCCAUGCCCAGGAGUGUUAAGGCAGUGCUGGAAAAUAAUGGUGGCCACACAAAAUAUUGACACUUUGGGCCCAAUAUGGACAUUUUCACUUAGGAGUGUACUUACUUUUAUUGGCAGCAGUUUAGACAUUAAUGUCUAUGUGUUGAGUUAUUUUGAGGGGACAGCAAAUCUUCACUGUUACCCAAGCUGUACACUCACUACUUUACAUUGCAUCAAAGUGUCAUUUCUCCAGUGUUGUCACAUGAAAAGAUAUAAUCAAACAUUUACACAAAUGUGAGGGGUGUACUCACUUUUGUGAGAUACUGUAUAUGCCUUUGGUUCUGGAAUGUGCCCUAUAGGGGCUGUGAAGCUCUUGCAGACAUUGUGUUUUAUGCAUGUCUCGCAUUGAUUUAGUUCCUUAUUAAUCAUGCUAGCUAAGUAGGGGGACCACCAAACCUCCCUGAUUUUCCUCAAGGUUUCUCCUCUACUAGCAUGGUCCACCCCAUGUGCAUCUUUUAUGAGCAGCAGUAUGAGACUCAGUGGGGCCACACACAAGCCUUCUACACUUCUACACUCCGCCACAGCCCUAUGCCUCGUUCUUUCUUUGCUCCUCUAGCUAUCCAUUUAGCUAUUUCUGCCUCACUAGCCUCUUUUUGUAUUUCCACAAUGUGUUCCACAUUAUCCUCUUGCGGGUGUCGGAUCUCUUCCUCCCCCAGGUUUAUCAAGGCCAUCAUUGGUGCUGUUCCUAAAGCAGCUUUCUUUGCUGCCUCAUCUGCUGCUGUGUUACCCCUAGUAACAAAAGUACCAUCAGUCUUGUGAGCCUGACAUUUCACGAUCGCAAGUUCCGCUGGCAAGGUCAUAGCAUACAACAAGUAUGAUAUAGCUGAGUAAUUGUGGACCCAUCUGCCCUCUGAAAUCCUCUCUGUGCCGAUAUAGGCCCAAAUACAUGACAUACUCCAUAUGCAUAUGCUGAAUCAAUAUCAAUUGUACAGCUUUUACCACAUCCUAGUUCACACGCAGCAGUCAGAGCCCUUAUUUCUGCCAAUUGUGCUGAGCAGGGUUGGGGUAAAGAGAACUCCAUUACUGUUUUAAAUGAAAGAGGAUCCACCCUAGCCUCUACCACAGCAGACCCAGCUUUAUUCCCUGUAUCAGCUCGAAAACACGACCCAUCUACAAAGAACACAUGUGUGUUUGACAAGGGCUGAUUCUCUAUCAGGGUUUGUCAAUGCAGGUGCUGACGUCAAUGUAGCUUUGAGUGAUUCAAAUGCAGCUAACGCCCCAGGGGUCCAGGUAAGAGGAGCAUUUGGCUGUGUUUGGUCUGCGCUUUUGAUUAAAUCACGGAGAGGUUGAACUAUUAGCACAAAGUCACAGACCCAUGGUUGGCUAAAACCCGCCAUUCCUAAGAAUGCAAACUUUUGUUGUACGGUUUGCGGUGCUUUCCAAAUGACUUCCAUGUGCUUAGGCGAAAUUUGUGGCUUGUCCCUUCUAGGACACGUCUCAAGUACUCUACUUUAGGUUUACAAAACUGGAGUUUUUCUCUACUCACUUUGUGGCCAUUUUCAGAUGGAAUAGUUAACUCCUUUACCGAAUCUUCCUGACAUUGUUCUUUGGUCGGGCUACAGAGUAAAAUGUCGUCCACGUACUGCAACAGGGUACUAUGACAAUUCAGAGUAUCAAGGUCACAAGCUAGAACCUGGUUGAAUAUAGAAGGGCUUUCACAAUAUCCCUGGGGAAGUCUCGUGUAUGUGUAUUGUUGUCCUUCAUAAGUGAAUGCAAAUAGAUGCUGCGAAUCUGGGUGGAGAGGUACACUAAAAAAUGCAGAGCACAGAUCAAUUACCGUAUACCACUUUGUUCCCUCAGGUAUGUUUGAUAAAAAUGUGUGUGUGUCUGGAACAAUUGGCAUUUCAGGUACCACUAUUUGAUUGAUAGCUCUCAAAUCAUGCAUCAACCUCCAUUUAUCUGAAUCGGGCUUCUUGACAGGAAAGAUUGGAGUGUUGCAAGGGCUCCUGGUGGGAAUCAAUACACCUGCUUCGAUUAGCCCUUGUAUGGUUGGUCUUAUACCUUCCCUAUCUUUUGAGGACAAUGGGUAUUGUCUUUGAUAUUGAAGGCAAAUGUUCCCUUUGACUUUUAUCUUUGCUAGCCCUCCUGAUUCAACUAACCCUACAUCUGUUGGGUGCUUUGUCCAUAACUCAUCUGGCACUUUUCUUAGCAGUUCUUGGAUCUUUUCCUUCCUCUACCAUUACCAUCUGUUUUUGCCCUGCAGCUACCUUAUGAAUCACGACGCAUGUUGCUACCAUUGGGUCUACUGCUGUUACAGAGAUUCGUAUGAACUGCCCAUCAGGUGACCUAAGUAUGGGUUCUCAGUUGGUUUCCAUUCCCUCACUUCCCUAGCCUGCUUAACCAUUGGUCCUAAAUCUUUAGAUUCAAACUUAUUUGCGACCAUAAGAGAGACAUGGGGGACUGCACCCUCCACUUGGUACCAAUUUUUCAGUCUUUCUGGGAGUUGUACCAUGUCUGCUAUCCCUUUGGGGCCCACUUAUUACAUUCAAAUUCUGUACUGCUGCUUUACAUCCUUCUUCGAGUUCUUCCCACAACUGGGCAAACUCCUCAGAGAGAAUAUAGCAGGGGUCUCUGUAUAGUAACAUCAUCGAGUAUAAGUUCCUGAGGUUCUGUAAAGCAUAAAGUCUGUAUUUUUCCCGAGAAGCCCAUAGUUUGAAUUGCUUUACACAUGAGGGGGAGCUGUGAGCCUUCUUUCCCGAUGCUUGAAUAGUAGCCCCUGUAUCAAUCAUGAAGGGUACAUUUAAUCCCUUCCCAACCGACACCGGGACCGUUGGUUCUUGUUCCGGGUGCAGUGUGGUGACAUACUGCAUCAGCUCCCCUUCUGACUUCUCUGGGCAUCUUCAACUCUGGUGUGGGUUUGUCCCUCCAUUUGGGCCAAACAUCGACCCUCCAGGAGGCACUGGGGGCUGUCAUUGUUGUUCCAACCAUUGGUUCCCUCGUCCCUGUCCCAUGGCUUGUGCCCCUAGGGUCUGACCUCUCCUCUCAGCCCUAUCCACAUGAUCUCCCCAUGUGUACCUGGCCAUUGCCUGUGGACAAUUUCUCCUGCAUUUCUCCUGCCAUUGCCUGUGCCUUGGGUCUCCACAUGUCCAACAUCCUUUAGCAGACAUGCUCUGUCUGGUGGGUCCUUGCAUUGGACCUCCACGAAAGAACCCUCUGCCUCGGCCCCUGUUCCGAGGCAUCAGUCCUUGGAAUCUGUAAUUCUGGGGAGCUUGGGGCCUUCCUGCAUACAUGUAUUCAACAGGUGCUAGCUGCAUUGUAGGUAUCUGUACAGGAGCGUAUGUCACUCGUGCUUGUGUCGGUGCUGCUACUGGGAUGGCGGCCACAAUUGGCUGUCCCUGAGGUGCCGUGGCUUGUGGUGUCACCAUCAGCGCAGCUUGUUUGGCACUCUUUCUUCUUUUCCUUCUUUUCUUGCUUUGCUCUUACUAUCUCUCCCAGCUGUACCUUGUACAGUUGGGUCAUCAAUGCCUCGGCUGCUUCUUUAAUUUCCUUUUUCUUUUUCCUGUAUUGAUCUACAUUAUGUGUUACAUGUGGUAUGAAUGAGUUCCAUUCUAUUGUAUUCAGUCCCACUACGCCUUCAAAUUUUUCUUGCACAUCCUCAGGUAGGGCCUUCUUUAGCAUCAUGAGUGGCUAGACCGAAUCCCAUUCUCAUAAAAUACCCAACCAUAUGUGUUCUAGUCUGAUGAGAGCAAUUCCAAAAGCUAUAAUAGUUCCAUAAUUACAAAAGGUUUGUUUUAUCACCAAAAGAACACCAUCUCCACGGUGAAGCACGGUGGUGGCAGCAUCACGCUUUAGAGCUGCUUUUCUUCAUCCAGAACUGGGGUUUUUAUCAAGGUGGAGGGAAUCAUGAUUAUCUACAAAAAAAACAAUGGAUUUUAGUGCAGAACCUUCAGGUGUCUACUAGUGAACUGAAGAUGGAAAGGAAUUUCACCUUUCAGCAGGAAUAUGACCCAAAGCACACGUCCACAUCAACAAAGGAAUGCCCAAGCCCAGACCUGAACCCAACUAAAAAUCUGUGUGGUGACCUGAAGCGGGAUGUGCACAGGAGACGUCUUCACAAUCUGAUGGAUCUGGAAUGUUUUUGUAAGAAAGAUGGGGAAAAUAUUGCUAGCUUGGGAAAAAAAAAAAGUACAAACUGUAACUCGUGGACUUUAAGCUAAUGUCGUCGUGAGAGACGGACCGCUGUAACCGCCAGCCGCAGUUUUCACCGUGGAACUGAAGGGACAAGGGCUGUGGAGAACUGUGCUGAGUAGCACGGUAACUACACUUGUGUAAGGGUGGAACUCCGCCGAACCUGCGUCGCUGAAUCGACUAUUACCUGCUGGACCCUCUGCAGCGGAUUCAUUCACUCAGCACGUCUCCGAGUCAGAUGAUUCUUCUCUUCGUUUUUUUUUUGUAUGUGCACCAACUCACGGGCCCCAACAGAAAACCCAAGCGCUUAGUAAAGGUUUUGAACAUUUAACAAAAAAGGGUUUAAGUUGUUAUAUCCAAACUAUACUGUUUGUGGUGUUUAAUAAGUAAGAAAGGAAUAUUUGAGUUUACUAAUCUAAAUUUGCCUUAUAUACAUUCAUACAGUUUGAGGUUUUUUUUUGAGUUAAAGCAUAAGGAAAAUAAACUUAUUUUUGUUAUACAUAUUAUUUGGCUGCAUUGAACUUUUCUUUUCCAUUUAAUAAGGUCUGUAUAUAUUUGACAUAGUUAUAUUUGUUUCUGGGGAAUACCCAUAUAGCUCAUAGUGUGUGAGUGUGGUGAUUCUUCAGUGGAGGCACCGCACUGUUAUUUUCUUGAUUAAAUCAUUUAUAUACAUGUAUGCCUGUGAUGACAUCGUCUACUGGUAGACAGAGGUUAGCCAAUUCACCAUCAACUGCUAAGUACUCAGGAUCCUGUUACUUUAAAACCAUUUAAAGUAGUAACCUUAUCUAAUAUUACACUUCCAGCGCCAGGAAGGGGUUAUAUUAUUAUUAUUAUUAUUAUUAUUAUUAUUAUUAUUAUUAUUAUUAUUAUGAUCUCCUCUUCCUCUGUGUGUUUUUUUCCUCUUUAGUCCUCCCCUGCUUUCUCUUCGCCACUCUUUUCCACUGCAGGAAGAUGGGAACGUUCUCGUCGUCUCCCUUUUGUUCUCCUGGAGAACCCAUCAUGAAGGACUCACAGGAUCCGCUCAUACCAUCGGGAGACACAGAGGCACACGCGGACAAAGACAGCACGUUCCCUGUACCUGUGUGAACCAGGAAGUGACUUCAACAGACGGGAGUGACCGAGACUCGUGUGUGUGUGUGUGCGUGCGCGCGUGUGUGCGCGUGUGUGAGCGUGUGUUUGUGUGUGUGUGUGUGUGUAAGACAAAAUGAUGCCCCAUUAAUCCAAAUGAAGUGAAAUGAUCUGAAUGGUUUAAUUUAUUUAUUUCUGUCUUUAUUGUACUCAUAAUCUGUAAACAAAUCUUCAGUGAGUCAGAUCUAAAGAUCAGACUCUGUCAUUUUAUUUGAUUUUUUUUCUGAAUUACUCUCGGAUCUUUGGGGCAUUUGUGCUUGAAUAUUCCAGUUUAAUUUAUUCUCCAUUUUUGAGAUAUCAGCUCUGUAAAUGACUCUUCUUCAGAUUUAAUUCGUUUUUAUCUUUAUUUUGUGACCGUAUUUAAUUCUGAAUAUUUUACGAUUUAAAACCGGAAUCUUUAGGACAUUUUGGAGGAAGAAUUGCGGCUCAUAAAUUGUUUAACGCACACUUAGUUUCUCGGGUGAGCGCAUUCUAUAAUAGAUUCAUAUGAAUCAUCUGUGAUUGAUUCUUUGCCGACUCUGAAUGUGAAUCAAAGUAAACGUGCGAUGAAACAGUCUGGAUGGUUUAAUGUAAUUUAACCUCUGUUUAAUUUAACCUGGCUAUUAUGUUAAUGAUUUCAUCUGCAUAUGCAAAUGAAUCUUCUUCUAAUUGCUCACUGAAUCACUCUCGUGUCACUUCAGUUGUUUUCUGUUUGCUGUUUUCAAAUUUGAUUUUAUAAAUGGAAUUGGACACACAUGAUCCUAAAGUGAUCUAAACAGCUCUAUGAACGAUUCUUGUGCGCUGGAAGCCGAGUGACGUUUGUAAACGAAUCGUUUUGAAGUGACUCUGAAUCACUUUAGGGUUUUUAUUUGUUUAAGGUACGUACGUGAGGAAUCCACCUCGGUGAAUCAAAAGGUUUCAUUUUACAGCAAUGACUCGUACUCAUGGAAAUGAUUCUUCUGAAUUUGUUUGUGAACGAAUCUGUUUUACGUACCAUGUAUAUUAUAGCUUUUCAUUUUCAUCAACCCAUGACGCUUGAUUUUGGAGUGUGUAGUGUAAAUAUGGAUCAGAUUUUUCAACUUGUGCCUUGUUACUGAAUGCUGAAUACACUCCUCCUGAACUACUGGUGGAACAGGAUAUAUUUGACUCGGUCGGUGAUUUGAAUGUAAUGUUAUAUUUACAGGACUUGUGUAAUUGGGGAAACCAGUCAAACAAACGAACAAUUAUUUACUUAGCACUUUUAGUCAUGUCAGUAAGAUUAGUUUUGUUGAUUUGAAAUGUUUGUGGUUUGUUUAUGAUGUUUUCUUAAAGGGCUGGAGUUUGUCACUAAUAACUGAUUAAGCCACACUUCAAAGUGUUAUUGUAUUGUAUUUCUUCUGAGUCUGCACUAGGGUUAAUGAGUGACUACAGUGAGGAUGUGAAUGUUACAGAGCCUGUUUUGGGGGCUGGGACAAUGCUGUAGGGUUAUUUAUUAGUUGAGAGAUUAGUAUUUAUUUUUUUGUUUCUGUGGCUCUUCCUGCUGAAAUAAAAAGCAAAUGCUGCGGCUUUAUUAAAAGCCAGAAAGUUGAAUAAACUGUGUUUUUAUUUA